CCGCCAUUAGCUCAUCGGCAGAGAGCGUCAGCUUUCGAAACUGGCUGUGUGGGGCCCGGGUCCCCGAUGGCAAUCCA
Molecule: transfer RNA, 77 nt
Filed under: Escherichia coli
Lineage: Bacteria; Pseudomonadati; Pseudomonadota; Gammaproteobacteria; Enterobacterales; Enterobacteriaceae
Also listed under: 12 other names
Description: tRNA-Arg
Source: RNAcentral